Molecule: non-coding RNA, 145 nt
Filed under: Shimia sp. SK013
Lineage: Bacteria; Pseudomonadati; Pseudomonadota; Alphaproteobacteria; Rhodobacterales; Roseobacteraceae
Description: Ruegeria cis2 sRNA
Rfam family: Ruegeria cis2 sRNA
About the family: Cis-encoded. Targets ABC transporter.
Source: Rfam by way of RNAcentral
GUUGCGCGGGAAGUAGUUGAUGAAGGCAAAGCCGCGCGAUUGAUCAAUGCAGUGAAACAGCGGGUUCCAGUCAAACAUCGCCAACAUAAAGCUUGGCAGGGUGUUGGCGACGAACAUUUUGCCCGAAGCAAUCAUAUUGGCACGG